UCUGUGACCUUGAAGCAAGCGGAUAGACGCCACACGACAGGUUUCCAGUUACUGUAGUGUCACUCUUGUGUAGCAGUUUGUGUCAAGACAGCUGAGCACGUAUGUAGCUACCAGCCUCGCAACAGACGAGGAUGGAAGCACGGGCAUGGUGGCUCUAUCCGAGCCUUAGAGAGUGCCCUGGACGCGAACCAGUUCUUGAUUCCGUAUCCCGGGUCCCGUGCACGUUUAGCUAGCCUUUCCUGCAAGCGGGACCCACGCCAACACACUUCGGCUUCCUUCGCGACCCUUGCGAUGGGCUCGUGAUGACGUAAGAACAGGAGCUCUUUUAUCUCGGAGCAGCAGCUGGCUGGGUGUUGGAAUUGGUGUGAUCCCACUGAUCUGACUAGAAGGAGCAGUUUUCCCGUCAGAAGUGAGGACUUUGCCAUGCUGAAACGCUGACAGAGUAAGACAGUCUACCUUGCUGCUGCUUAGAUCUGCCCAGGAGCUAAGAAAAUGUUCUGAUCCUUUCCUCAUAGCUUUACAAGAGUAGGUACACCAUGUUUUCAACUCUAUUUUUAAUGCCUGAACACUGUGAACUCCACUCAAUCAUUGAUCUCUCUUGCAAGGACUUUGUUCCACUUGGGAAGAUUUUAACCCCUAAGAUAGAAGCCACUUCUGAAGCAAAGGAAAAAUAGAUUGAAAAGAAAAUUUUAAGUACAUUGGAAACACAUCUUUUACCAGGAAGCUUGUCAAAGCAGUUCACAGUGAGAAAGAGAUUGCUAAAAAGUGAAGAUCGGGUUUUCAGAACUCCUGCUAUAAAGCCUGGAUUCCACUGGAGUUUCCACUGUUUUAGUGCAUCGGGAACUGCAAAGGCUUGCAAAGGCAGCUUUGACUUGGCCAUGGUUGCGAGCACCCAGUCUGGGUAGCUUGCUCUCAUCUGCUGAUAAGCAUGCCUCACUUGUCUAACAGUAUCAGUGUAAGCCACCAAAACCUCGAGGCUGUUGGGAAGAAUUUCUUUUAAAAAUCAAAAUGUAGGAAACCUUUUAAGGAUAGAAGAAAAUAUGACAAUUCUGUUUCUUAAUUUUAGGGAUAAGUACACUCCCCUCCCCCAACAACCAACAAAACAUCCAAGUAGAAAAAUAACUGCCAGGUUAGAUAAAGGUUAGUCUGGUUGCAUAUUUCUUUUCCGUUCUAGGGGCAGAGAGAGAGACAAGACUGAGAGCUUUUCAGUGGGUGUGGCUCUGUUCUGGCCAGAGCAGAGUGCUGUCACUUCACAGCCUGAGGCAAGAGGCGAGCAAGCAGGACCGAGCUGAGCAGUCACGUAGCAGGGAGGCCCAGGUUGCACAACUCAUGAGUUUGAUGGUCACCAUUUUUAUUUUUUUACCAUGAUUUCCAAUUUCUCAAAGACUUCAUUUUGACAUGACUCUUCCGUAACUAGACUAUGAACAGAAGUUCACACAUAUAUGCAUCUUCUGAGUCCUCCUCACUGUGGCAAUGUCCUCAGGAAGCUCUCAGCACCCGGUCUCCUGCUCCUAUACCCCAGACCCAGUUGAUAGCACAGCUAUCAACAACUCCAUACACACCAAAGGGGGAACAGCAAAGACAUCCUACCAAUGAGAUUUGUACUAUCAGAUCUUUGAUUGACUUUUCUAAUGAUUCGUUUAUAAGAAAAUAAUGUGGAUAAAAUUACACAUUGAAAGUUCGACUUUAUUUCAAAAUGAUAAAUAAACUGGCAUAGUUCUGAGUCUGUA
This is a long non-coding RNA of Mastomys coucha (southern multimammate mouse), 1730 nucleotides long. RefSeq lists it as uncharacterized. Lineage: Eukaryota; Metazoa; Chordata; Mammalia; Rodentia; Muridae. The transcript has 2 exons. The record is from RefSeq and is a predicted model, not a curated record.